CAGUAGCCGCGGUAAUACGUAGGGUGCAAGCGUUAAUCGGAAUUCCUGGGCGUAAAGCGUGCGCAGGCGGUUAUAUAAGUCAGAUGUGAAAUCCCCGGGCUCAACCUGGGAACUGCAUUUGAGACUGUAUGGCUAGAGUGUGUCAGAGGGGGGUAGAAUUCCACGUGUAGCAGUGAAAUGCGUAGAUAUGUGGAGGAAUACCGAUGGCGAAGGCAGCCCCCUGAGAUAACACUGACGCUCAUGCACGAAAGCGUGGGGAGCAAACAGAAUUAGAUACCCGCGUAGUCCCUGUCUCUUAUAC
Molecule: ribosomal RNA, 301 nt
Filed under: uncultured bacterium
Lineage: Bacteria
Description: partial 16S ribosomal RNA
Rfam family: Bacterial small subunit ribosomal RNA
Source: RNAcentral